RNAcentral lists this small RNA (132 nucleotides) under unclassified sequences. RNAcentral's name for it is "LOOT RNA". It matches the Rfam family "LOOT RNA". Rfam says of the family: Latescibacteria, OD1/Parcubacteria, OP11, TM7. Lineage (Microgenomates, aka OP11) The record is from Rfam by way of RNAcentral.
GACCUAAACCCAGAGAUUUCAAACAUUUUUGGGCAUGGACUACAAAACGAUUGCGCGUAUUAAGCUCCUAGUCAGAGCACGCGCAAUCGUCAUAUCUCGAAAGGGAUAUGGGUAAUCCCCUUCGGGAUUAUC